This 1259-nucleotide ribosomal RNA is filed under the name Phrixothrix hirtus. Its description in RNAcentral is "l-rRNA". The stretch from base 1018 to 1176 matches the Rfam family "Archaeal large subunit ribosomal RNA", at positions 2544 to 2703 of the family's 2987-position model. Lineage: Eukaryota; Metazoa; Arthropoda; Insecta; Coleoptera; Phengodidae. The record is from RNAcentral.
AAAUAUUUUUUUAAUUUUUUUUUGUUAUAAAAGUUUUUUUUUUAUUAUUUCUUUUUUUAAAAUUUUAUUUAUUUUUAUAGUUUAUUAUUAAAGUGAUUGAAAUUGAUUUAUUUAAUUUAAAGAAGAAUUAUUUUUUUUUACCUUUUGUAUCAGGGUUAAUAAAUUAAUUUUUUUAUAUUUAAUUUUUCCCGAAUUAAUAAGAGCUAAAAUAUUAUUUAUUUAAUUGUUUUAUAAAUUUUUUUAAUAUUAUUUUUGUAAUGAAAUGUUAUUCGUUUAUUAAAAUAUCUGGUUUUUUUAGAAAAAAGUUUAAUUUUUUGAGCUAUUAAUAUUCUUUAGUUUUGAAGGUUAUUUAUUAGUUUUUUAGGUCUUUAGGGUUAAGCUUUAAGACUAAUUUAUUAAAAAUGUAAAAUAUUUAGAUUUAAGUUUGAUUAGAGUUUUCAAUCUUUAUAUAAAUUAAUUAUUAUGUUUUAUUGAUUUAUUUUUUUGUUUAUUUUAAUUUUUUUAUUAAAAUUUUUUAAUUAAUUAUUUUUUUUUAGUAAUAAUGAUUAAAUUAGUAAAAAUUAAAUUUUUUAUUUUUUUUAGAUAAUUUAAAGGAACUAGGCAAAAUUUAAAAUUUCUGCCUGUUUAUUAAAAACCUCUCUUUUUGAAAAUGAUUUAAGGUUUGAUCUGCUCAAUGAUUAUUUAAAUUGCUGCAGUAAUUUAACUGUACAAAGGUAGCAUAAUAAUUUGUUUUUUAAUUGAAAACUUGAAUGAAUGAUUAGACAAGAAAUUUACUGUCUCUAAAUUAACUUUUGAAUUUUACUUUAAAGUUAAAAGGCUUUAAUUAUUUUGAGGGACGAGAAGACCCUAUAGAGUUUUAUUUAUUUUUAAUUUAAUAAGUUUAUAUAAUUUAGUUUUUUUUUUUAAGAAUAAUUUUAGUUGGGGUUAUUAGAAGAUUAAAUAAAUUUUUUUUUUGUUUAUCAUUUAUAAAUGAUUUUAUUAUGUUUAUUUAAAAAAUAUAAAAAAAAUUACCUUAGGGAUAACAGCGUUAUUUUUAUUAGAAGUUCUUAUUUUAAUAAAGGUUUGCGACCUCGAUGUUGGAUUAAAAUUAAUUUUUGAUGUAGGUGUCAAUAUUUUAAGUCUGUUCGACUUUUAAAAUUUUACAUGAUCUGAGUUUAAACCGGUGUAAGCCAGGUUGGUUUUUAUCUUUAAAAAAUUAAAAUUUCUUAGUACGAAAGGACUUGAUUUUUGAUUAAUAAUUUUUGUUUAGAAUUAUAUUG